GACCAUUCUUCUCGAUCCGAUCUUUCAAGGGCUGGCGAUUUCGCUGCUGUUUGGUCUAGCGUCGUCGACGCUCCUGACGGCCCUCGUCAUUCCGGCAAUUUACAUCGCGCUACGUGAACCCUCACCGCAGCCAUCAUCCAGCAAGUAAGGAAGUCUCAAAUGGAAAAGAACUAUUCCGAACUCACCAAGCGCAUUUCCGCCGACUUGAGGAAAUUGCGCAAGGGUAUACCCGAUACCAUGCA
Molecule: unclassified non-coding RNA, 242 nt
Filed under: Hevea brasiliensis (rubber tree)
Lineage: Eukaryota; Viridiplantae; Streptophyta; Magnoliopsida; Malpighiales; Euphorbiaceae
Source: RNAcentral